ACUAUCGUUAACUGAAUACAUAGGUUAACGAGGCGAACCGGGGGAACUGAAACAUCUAAGUACCCCGAGGAAAAGAAAUCAACCGAGAUUCCCCCAGUAGCGGCGAGCGAACGGGGAGCAGCCCAGAGUCUGAAUCAGCUUGUGUGUUAGUGGAACGGUCUGGAAAGUCCGACGGUACAGGGUGAUAGUCCCGUACACCAAAAUGCACAGGCUGUGAACUCGAAGAGUAGGGCGGGACACGUGGUAUCCUGUCUGAAUAUGGGGGGACCAUCCUCCAAGGCUAAAUACUCCUGACUGACCGAUAGUGAACCAGUACCGUGAGGGAAAGGCGAAAAGAACCCCGGCGAGGGGAGUGAAAAAGAACCUGAAACCGUGUACGUACAAGCAGUGGGAGCACCUUCGGGUGUGACUGCGUACCUUUUGUAUAAUGGGUCAGCGACUUAUAUUCUGUAGCAAGGUUAACCGUAUAGGGGAGCCGCAGGGAAACCGAGUCUUAACUGGGCGUUAAGUUGCAGGGUAUAGACCCGAAACCCGGUGAUCUAGCCAUGGGCAGGUUGAAGGUUGGGUAACACUAACUGGAGGACCGAACCGACUAAUGUUGAAAAAUUAGCGGAUGACUUGUGGCUGGGGGUGAAAGGCCAAUCAAACCGGGAGAUAGCUGGUUCUCCCCGAAAGCUAUUUAGGUAGCGCCUCGUGAAUUCAUCUUCGGGGGUAGAGCACUGUUUCGGCUAGGGGGUCAUCCCGACUUACCAACCCGAUGCAAACUACGAAUACCGAAGAAUGUUAUCACGGGAGACACACGGCGGGUGCUAACGUCCGUCGUGAAGAGGGAAACAACCCAGACCGCCAGCUAAGGUCCCAAAGUCAUGGUUAAGUGGGAAACGAUGUGGGAAGGCACAGACAGCCAGGAUGUUGGCUUAGAAGCAGCCAUCAUUUAAAGAAAGCGUAAUAGCUCACUGGUCGAGUCGGCCUGCGCGGAAGAUGUAACGGGGCUAAACCAUGCACCGAAGCUGCGGCAGCGACACUAUGUGUUGUUGGGUAGGGGAGCGUUCUGUAAGCCUGCGAAGGUGACCUGUGAGGGUUGCUGGAGGUAUCAGAAGUGCGAAUGCUGACAUAAGUAACGAUAAAGCGGGUGAAAAGCCCGCUCGCCGGAAGACCAAGGGUUCCUGUCCAACGUUAAUCGGGGCAGGGUGAGUCGACCCCUAAGGCGAGGCCGAAAGGCGUAGUCGAUGGGAAACAGGUUAAUAUUCCUGUACUUGGUGUUACUGCGAAGGGGGGACGGAGAAGGCUAUGUUAGCCGGGCGACGGUUGUCCCGGUUUAAGCAUGUAGGCUGAUUAUCCAGGCAAAUCCGGAUAAUCAAGGCUGAGGUGUGAUGACGAGGCACUACGGUGCUGAAGUAACAAAUGCCCUGCUUCCAGGAAAAGCCUCUAAGCAUCAGGUAACAUCAAAUCGUACCCCAAACCGACACAGGUGGUCAGGUAGAGAAUACCAAGGCGCUUGAGAGAACUCGGGUGAAGGAACUAGGCAAAAUGGUGCCGUAACUUCGGGAGAAGGCACGCUGGUGUGUAGGUGAAGUCCCUGCGGAUGGAGCUGAGACCAGUCGAAGAUACCAGCUGGCUGCAACUGUUUAUUAAAAACACAGCACUGUGCAAACACGAAAGUGGACGUAUACGGUGUGACGCCUGCCCGGUGCCGGAAGGUUAAUUGAUGGGGUUAUCCGUAAGGAGAAGCUCUUGAUCGAAGCCCCGGUAAACGGCGGCCGUAACUAUAACGGUCCUAAGGUAGCGAAAUUCCUUGUCGGGUAAGUUCCGACCUGCACGAAUGGCGUAAUGAUGGCCAGGCUGUCUCCACCCGAGACUCAGUGAAAUUGAACUCGCUGUGAAGAUGCAGUGUACCCGCGGCAAGACGGAAAGACCCCGUGAACCUUUACUAUAGCUUGACACUGAACAUUGAGCCUUGAUGUGUAGGAUAGGUGGGAGGCUUUGAAGCGUGGACGCCAGUCUGCGUGGAGCCAACCUUGAAAUACCACCCUUUAAUGUUUGAUGUUCUAACGUUGGCCCCUUACCGGGGUUGCGGACAGUGUCUGGUGGGUAGUUUGACUGGGGCGGUCUCCUCCCAAAGCGUAACGGAGGAGCACGAAGGUUAGCUAAUCCUGGUCGGACAUCAGGAGGUUAGUGCAAUGGCAUAAGCUAGCUUGACUGCGAGCGUGACGGCGCGAGCAGGUGCGAAAGCAGGUCAUAGUGAUCCGGUGGUUCUGAAUGGAAGGGCCAUCGCUCAACGGAUAAAAGGUACUCCGGGGAUAACAGGCUGAUACCGCCCAAGAGUUCAUAUCGACGGCGGUGUUUGGCACCUCGAUGUCGGCUCAUCACAUCCUGGGGCUGAAGUAGGUCCCAAGGGUAUGGCUGUUCGCCAUUUAAAGUGGUACGCGAGCUGGGUUUAGAACGUCGUGAGACAGUUCGGUCCCUAUCUGCCGUGGGCGCUGGAGAAUUGAGGGGGGCUGCUCCUAGUACGAGAGGACCGGAGUGGACGCAUCACUGGUGUUCGGGUUGUCAUGCCAAUGGCACUGCCCGGUAGCUAAAUGCGGAAGAGAUAAGUGCUGAAAGCAUCUAAGCACGAAACUUGCCCCGAGAUGAGUUCU
Molecule: ribosomal RNA, 2639 nt
Filed under: Klebsiella pneumoniae
Lineage: Bacteria; Pseudomonadati; Pseudomonadota; Gammaproteobacteria; Enterobacterales; Enterobacteriaceae
Description: bacterial LSU rRNA
Rfam family: Bacterial large subunit ribosomal RNA
Source: RNAcentral